UACGGGGGGAGCAAGCGUUGUUCGGAAUUACUGGGCGUAAAGGGCGCGUAGGCGGCCUGUUAAGUCGAACGUGAAAUCCCCGGGCUCAACCCGGGAACUGCGUCCGAUACUGGCAGGCUUGAAUCCGGGAGAGGGAUGCGGAAUUCCAGGUGUAGCGGUGAAAUGCGUAGAUAUCUGGAGGAACACCGGUGGCGAAGGCGGCAUCCUGGACCAACACUGACGCUGAGUGAGCGAAAGCCAGGGGAGCAAACGGG
Molecule: ribosomal RNA, 254 nt
Filed under: uncultured bacterium
Lineage: Bacteria
Description: partial 16S ribosomal RNA
Rfam family: Bacterial small subunit ribosomal RNA
Source: RNAcentral